This 589-nucleotide ribosomal RNA is filed under the name uncultured bacterium. Its description in RNAcentral is "partial 16S ribosomal RNA". It matches the Rfam family "Bacterial small subunit ribosomal RNA", at positions 355 to 1375 of the family's 1533-position model. The record is from RNAcentral.
UGGGGAAUUUUGGACAAUGGGCGAAAGCCUGAUCCAGCAAUGCCGCGUGUGUGAAGAAGGCCUUCGGGUUGUAAAGCACUUUUGUCCGGAAAGAAAUCCUUGGCUCUAAUACAGUCGGGGGAUGACGGUACCGGAAGAAUAAGCACCGGCUAACUACGUGCCAGCAGCCGCGGUAAUACGUAGGGUGCAAGCGUUAAUCGGAAUUACUGGGCGUAAAGCGUGCGCAGGCGGUUUGCUAAGACCGAUGUGAAAUCCCCGGGCUCAACCUGGGAACUGCAUUGGUGACUGGCAGGCUAGAGUAUGGCAGAGGGGGGUAGAAUUCCACGUGUAGCAGUGAAAUGCGUAGAGAUGUGGAGGAAUACCGAUGGCGAAGGCAGCCCCCUGGGCCAAUACUGACGCUCAUGCACGAAAAGCGUGGGGAGCAAAACAGGAUUAGAUACCCUGGUAGUCCACGCCCUAAAACGAUGUCAACUAGUUGUUGGGGAUUCAUUUCCUUAGUAACGUAGCUAACGCGUGAAGUUGACCGCCUGGGGAGUACGGUCGCAAGAUUAAAAACUCAAAGGAAUUGACGGGGUCAUAGCUGUUUCCU